GACGAACGCUGGCGGCGUGCUUCACACAUGCAAGUCGAACGGGGAUGCAGCAAAAGCUUGCUUUUAUUGCAUCCUAGUGGCGGACGGGUGAGUAACACGUGAGCAACCUGCCCGACAUACUGGGAUAACAGCGGGAAACCGUUGCUAAUACCGGAUACUCCAUUUCUGGCGCAUGUCAGAGAUGGGAAAGGGUUUACCGAUGUCGGAUGGGCUCGCGUCCCAUUAGCUGGUUGGUGAGGUAACGGCUCACCAAGGCUGCGAUGGGUAGCUGGUCUGAGAGGACGCUCAGCCACACUGGAACUGAGACACGGUCCAGACUCCUACGGGAGGCAGCGGUGGGGAAUAUUGCACAAUGGGCGAAAGCCUGAUGCAGCGACGCCGCGUGGAGGAUGAAGGCCUUCGGGUCGUAAACUCCUGUCUGGGGGGAUGAACACUGACAGUACCCCCGGAGGAAGCCCCGGCUAACUACGUGCCAGCCGCCGCCGUAA
This 488-nucleotide ribosomal RNA is filed under the name uncultured bacterium. RNAcentral's name for it is "partial 16S ribosomal RNA". It matches the Rfam family "Bacterial small subunit ribosomal RNA", at positions 28 to 523 of the family's 1533-position model. The record is from RNAcentral.